AGCUGUUGAAGUACAUCUUCCAAGCUUCCCAUAAAAGCCUAACUGGCAAAAGAUCAAGAAAACAUGUUGCAGAUAAAAGGACAUAUCUCUAUUAGCAGAAGAUGUGGUCACCCACCAACCGUCUGCAAAUCGAGAUGAGAAACUCCCCCCUGGGCACACAGAAGACUGGGUGACUUCAAAGGUGCUGAACAGACUGUGGUCUGGCACCAUGAGAUGCAAAGCUAGCCUUAAGAAAUGAGGCUACAAAGUGGAGUCCAUGACAUGUGAGUGUGGAGAAGAGCAA
This 283-nucleotide long non-coding RNA is filed under the name Anolis carolinensis (green anole). Its description in RNAcentral is "lncRNA (ENSACAG00000032992.2)". Lineage: Eukaryota; Metazoa; Chordata; Lepidosauria; Squamata; Anolidae. The record is from RNAcentral.